UAGCUUUCUCUCUCCUCUCGCCUACCACCGCCGUCGCUCGCCCGAUCCAAAGAUGAACAACUUCGAUCACCGUUACAGUGAUCCCACCUCCUUCCGCGAUCGGAGAAGCGAUCUGAUGCCUCCGCCGCACAUGCCACACUUCCCGCCGAGCGGCGGCGCAGCCGCCGGAUUCGGCCGCAGCGGAGCUGCUCCCUUCGGUGGGACGGGGCUCGCGCCGGCUUUCCCUCCGCCUAGUAUUGCCGCUCCUUUUUCUUCCGUCGGAGACAGCUCCGGUAGGGGAUCUAGUGGCCGAGGAUCCGAUUCUGGAAGGGGCCGUGGCGGCGGGAGAGGUUUUGAUACCGGCCGUAGCGGCGGGACAAGUUUUGAUACCGGCCGUAACGGCGGG
RNAcentral lists this unclassified non-coding RNA (385 nucleotides) under Hevea brasiliensis (rubber tree). The record is from RNAcentral. Lineage: Eukaryota; Viridiplantae; Streptophyta; Magnoliopsida; Malpighiales; Euphorbiaceae.